This 316-nucleotide unclassified non-coding RNA is filed under the name uncultured Thelephoraceae. Its description in RNAcentral is "sequence contains 5.8S rRNA gene". The record is from RNAcentral. Lineage: Eukaryota; Fungi; Basidiomycota; Agaricomycetes; Thelephorales; Thelephoraceae.
GAACGCACCUUGCGCCCUUUGGCCAUUCCGAAGGGCAUGCCUGUUUGAGUAUCAUGAACACCUCAACUCUCAUGGCUUGCCAUGAUGAGCUUGGACUUUGGGGGUCUUGCUGGCCUAUGGUCGGCUCCUCUCAAAUGGAUCAGCUUGCCAGUGUUUGGUGGCGUCACAGGUGUGAUAACUAUCUGCGCUUGUGGUUUCCCAUCAGAUAACCUUCAGCGAUGGAGGUUCGCUGGGGCUCAUAAAUGUCUCUCCUAAGUGAGGACAGCCCUUUGAACGUUUGAUCUCAAAUCAGGUAGGACUACCCGCUGAACUUAAG